This 115-nucleotide microRNA precursor is filed under the name Populus trichocarpa (black cottonwood). Its description in RNAcentral is "miR7824 stem-loop (ptc-MIR7824)". Lineage: Eukaryota; Viridiplantae; Streptophyta; Magnoliopsida; Malpighiales; Salicaceae. The record is from miRBase by way of RNAcentral.
AUGUUGGAGUUUGAGAAAAGUCAAUCGGACCUUAAUCGGACCUUAAAUGAGCUGGCAAUUAAUCGGACCUUAAAAAAUUUACAAGUUCGAUUGACUUUUCUCGAACUCCAACAUU